CGGGCAGUAGCUCAGUGGUGGAACUCUCGCUUCUUAUGCGGGGAGAUCUGGGUUCGAGUCCCGGCUGCUUAC
Molecule: transfer RNA, 72 nt
Organism: Toxocara canis (dog roundworm)
Lineage: Eukaryota; Metazoa; Nematoda; Chromadorea; Rhabditida; Toxocaridae
Rfam family: tRNA
About the family: Transfer RNA (tRNA) molecules are approximately 80 nucleotides in length. Their secondary structure includes four short double-helical elements and three loops (D, anti-codon, and T loops).
Source: Rfam